UUUUUUUUCACCUUUCCUCUCCCUCUGCGCACUCUUUGUCUCGGGUGCUGAGGGAGCAGAGAUGGUUUAGCGGCGGUGGUUACGGAGCAGAGGGAGGAGGCUGGGCGGAGCAGAGGGAACGCAGCUGGGAGGGGGAGGGGAGUAGGGUGGAGUGUCGAGGCCUCCGACGGUCUAGGCGGUGUAGGAGUGGGUUGGCAGGGAGAGCGCAGGGUAGGGCCAGAGAAGUGCGUCGAGGAGCGACGCGAUGGACGCCGCCGACGUAGUUCACUACAGGCCGCUUAGGGCGGUUGCGGUUCGUGUCGGGCUCCAGGGAAACGAGGUACCUCGGAAGGGUAGGUCGAUCUAGCUCACGAACGACGGUGGUUUCGGGUGGGCGCUGGGUAGGGCGUACCGAUCCCAAAGCCCGCAGCCUAGACCACAGUCACCGGUACAGCAGGAGCAAAGGAGGCUACACGCCCCUCCUUGCCCGUCACCUGUUGGAACGACGCCGAGCCCUACUUCGUCGGUGCUCGAAGGAGGAGGAGGCCGAAGUCACCUCCACAUGGUUGCCAUCAAACUUCGUCUAAUCCGCCGGCGCCUGUAGAAACCGCCACUCCGGCAGGUCACUUCCUUUACCGUCACACCGCUAAACACAAGAUAAGAGGUAGGAAAUUCGAGUAUUGUCUUCUUUCUUGAUAUGUUAGUGAUAAUAAAAUAAUUCUUUUUUUGGAUAGUACAUGCGUACAAAACUACUCAUGAGGAGAACUGAGCUAACACAACAUCCCUCACCUUCGUAGGUUAACGCCACUAGACGUCGAGACCAGCGGAGGUCGUCGUGGUGUAUUAGUUUCAAGGUUUGUCAACACAACCUGACGACGGAGGUCGGUUGGUAUUGUAUUAGUAACCUACACGAAGAAUACAUCUUCUAAACUCACUAGAUACACAAAUAAAGUCUUUUGUAAAAGAAUUACUUCUAAAUAUAAUAUAUCUAUAAGGACAUGUAAUCGAAAUCAAAAAAACGAUUGAUCUUUCACCAAAGGAAAAAGAAUGUGGUUGAGUGAUUUCGUAACCCAAGUAAACCCCAAGGAUCUAUCGAUUAAAAUCCUCGUGUGUUCUAAAGCUGAGGACGAUACAUUAAUUUCCUUUAGUACUAUAACUGAUUAUAGGAGACAUAUAAAUGAUUGGGACCUAGUCUCUGUAAAUUUAAAUUUAAUAUUAAACCUUUCAAAUAAAUAUCCUUACUAUGUAUCAUACAUAUUUACGUAAAUACUUUUAUUUAAAUAAAGUCGGUGUACAUUCGGUUGUGUCAUAGUGUACAUUAUAAAGAGUUAAUCAAUUUUCAUACGAAGAAAAUUUUGACCACCAAAAUAAAAAAUAAUGUAUUUUUACAAUAUCAAUAUGUACCGUUUGAUUUUAACAACACGUCUGUGUGACCAACUACUGAUCAGAUUGAUUGAGUCCCUAUUUAAGUAACUCAUUCUACAUUUCAACGGUUCUAUCAUUGAUCCCGUGUAUCUUGCCCUGCUUAUAUCUAAGAGAAUAAAAUAAUUCAUCUUACCUUGAACCACUUCGAAAUGAACACAACGCGACAAGAUCUCUACGUAUUCUGUGUACAUUGGUAAAAGGGAACCGUAACGUCGACGUACGUGGUUGAACUACAUCCCGCUGUGGUACCUUCCAUAUGUGAGAGGGAGAGGGAUGACAUGAUGGCGAGCAACACAGGUACUUGUAACUCGGUACGAUCCAAGAUAGACAGGUAUAUUACAAUAACUCGGUAUAACAAGACAUCCGAUACAGCAUAUAAUACCGCAGACCUAAUCAGUAGUUACUAGUGAUUGUGAGUACGACCAUAUAAAGGUCUUAGUAUUGUUCCUGCAUCAAGAACGAUGUCAAGAUUCAAUACUAGGGCUUAAAUUUGAAUUACCACGACUUUAAUUUUACGUAAAACCCGUCACAUUAUGUUUUGAACGCUUUCGACUUCUAAACCAUGUCUAAGCGUUUUUGACGUUAUGAUUACCAUUACGUCUUUUUUAUAUAACGUACCGGGAGUUGCAAACAUGCACAGAUUAUAGGACGGAAAUAGUGAUGAACAUAGUACAGUUACGUAAUACACAAUUAUCAAGUAAAACAAUAAAAACAACAUCUAACUUUUCUAUAUACCUACUAAUAUACCCACGCAUUGUUCAUAUGACGUUACUACUACUACUACUACUGCUGCUACUAUAAGACCAAGUACUACUACUACUACCUACGAAAGUUAAAAUCAAUUCAACACCCUACAAGGACAACCUACUACAAGGAGUCAAUCAAAAUCAGUUCAACAUCCCUAUAACUACCUACUAAAAUCAAAUCUAAAACGACAGUUCUUUUAAAAUCUAACACGUAGUGUAAACCUACUACAAGGAGGACAUUAUAGGUAACAACAUUAGGUUGUCAAAAUAGACUAUAUACUAAAGAAGGAGAACACUC
This 2448-nucleotide ribosomal RNA is filed under the name Triticum aestivum (bread wheat). Its description in RNAcentral is "partial small subunit ribosomal RNA". Lineage: Eukaryota; Viridiplantae; Streptophyta; Magnoliopsida; Poales; Poaceae. The record is from RNAcentral.